RNAcentral lists this ribosomal RNA (488 nucleotides) under uncultured bacterium. Its description in RNAcentral is "partial 16S ribosomal RNA". It matches the Rfam family "Bacterial small subunit ribosomal RNA", at positions 30 to 507 of the family's 1533-position model. The record is from RNAcentral.
AUUGAACGCUGGCGGCAUGCUUUACACAUGCAAGUCGAACGGCAGCACAGGGAGCUUGCUCCUGGGUGGCGAGUGGCGAACGGGUGAGUAAUGUAUCGGAACGUGCCUGGUAGUGGGGGAUAACUACUCGAAAGAGUGGCUAAUACCGCAUGAGAUCUUUGGAUGAAAGCGGGGGACCUUCGGGCCUCGUGCUACUGGAGCGGCCGAUAUCAGAUUAGGUUGUUGGUGGGGUAAAGGCCUACCAAGCCUGCGAUCUGUAGCUGGUCUGAGAGGACGACCAGCCACACUGGGACUGAGACACGGCCCAGACUCCUACGGGAGGCAGCAGUGGGGAAUUUUGGACAAUGGGCGCAAGCCUGAUCCAGCAAUGCCGCGUGCAGGACGAAGGCCUUCGGGUUGUAAACUGCUUCUGUACAGAACGAAAAGUCUCUGGCUAAUAUCUAGAGAUCAUGACGGUACUGUAAGAAUAAGCACCGGCUAACUACGUG